Molecule: ribosomal RNA, 460 nt
Filed under: uncultured bacterium
Lineage: Bacteria
Description: partial 16S ribosomal RNA
Rfam family: Bacterial small subunit ribosomal RNA
Source: RNAcentral
CCUACGGGAGGCAGCAGUGAGGAAUAUUGGUCAAUGGACGAGAGUCUGAACCAGCCAAGUAGCGUGAAGGAUGACUGCCCUAUGGGUUGUAAACUUCUUUUAUACGGGGAUAAAAUGUUCCACGUGUGGGAUUUUGUAUGUACCAUAUGAAUAAGGAUCGGCUAAUUCCGUGCCAGCAGCCGCGGUAAUACGGAGGAUCCGAGCGUUAUCCGGAUUUAUUGGGUUUAAAGGGAGCGUAGGCGGCAUGUUAAGUCAGUUGUGAAAGUUCGCGGCUCAACCGUAACAUUGCAGUUGAAACUGGCAGUCUUGAGUACAGUAGAGGUGGGCGGAAUUCGUGGUGUAGCGGUGAAAUGCUUAGAUAUCACGAAGAACUCCGAUUGCGAAGGCAGUUCACUGGACUGCAACUGACGCUGAGGCUCGAAGGUGUGGGUAUCAAACAGGAUUAGAUACCCCAGUAGUC